Non-coding RNA from Dermatophagoides farinae (American house dust mite), 408 nucleotides. NCBI's taxonomy places the organism in Eukaryota, Metazoa, Arthropoda, Arachnida, Sarcoptiformes, Pyroglyphidae. The record is from RefSeq and is a predicted model, not a curated record.
AUUCAUUCACCGAUAAUCGAUUUGGGUAAUGAUUGGUAUCAAGAAUCCAUUGUCAAAGAUCCUGAAUAUCGUGAUAAACUUAAUAGGAAAAUAUUGUUACGAAGAUUGUUGGCACAAUUGAAUUCAAAUGCCGAAACAUUGAUCGAAAAAGAGAAACGAGAGGAUGAUAUUCCACCUGGUUUCAUUGGUGUUCGUGGUCGUAGAUUUCCAUUUACUUUACGAGAUCUUCGUUCUUUAUUUCAUUUGGUACCGAAUCAGAAAAAAGAUGCGUCCAGUAUUUAUAGAGAUGGAUUUCUCGGUGUUCGUGGAUAAUUGAAGAAUAAUAUUUGAUCAGCAAUAAAUAUGAAUAUAGCGGAUAAUCAUCAUUAUCACCAUCAUCGCCCUCACUGUUAUAAUCAUCGUCAUAAU